CGAAUGUAUUACCACAUCGUCAAGAUAAGCAGUACAAUUUGGUACAUCGGCAAAAACAAUGUUAACUAACCGCUGAAAAGUAGCAGGUGCAUUACACAUUCCAAAGGGCAUCACAGAAUAUUGUACGAAGUUAUCUGGCGUAACGAAAGCCGAAAUGUCAGAAGCUCGAGAGGUCAAAGGCACCUGCCAAUAACCUUUUAGCAAAUCUAAUUUACUAACGUAAGCAGCAGAGCCAAUUCUAUCAAUGCAGUCAUCUAAGCGAGGUAGAGGAAAAGAAUCAGACUUUGUAACGGCAUUUACUCGACGAUAGUCCGUACAUAAGCGAGACGUACCGUCAGGCUUAGGAACAAGAAUACACGGGGAACUCCAGGAGCUGUUACUGGGUUUUGCCAUGUCAUUCUGUAAUAAAUAAGCUACCUCACUUUUCAUUACCUCCCUUUUCUUUGCAUUAACCCGGUACGGAUGCUGACUUAUAGGAACAGCGUCCCCCACAUCCACGUCAUGUUCCAAGAUGGACGUGCGACUUGGAACAUCCUGAAACACAAUACCAGCCAGGCUUCAGCACCACCGCAGCCACACUGGAAACGGCGGGCUGGACCGGCUUUCUUGAGGAGCUGUUGGGAGAAUCACGCAUAUAAUAUGCUUUCAGCAUGUUAACAUGACACAUUCGGGAAGAACGCCUCCGAUCUGGGGUCUUUAUCACAUAAUUGGUGUCACUGAGUUUCUUUUCCACAAGAUAUGGUCCAGAAAAACGUGCUGACAGAGAUGAGCCAGGGAUUGGCAACAAAACUAAAACUUGAU
This 801-nucleotide long non-coding RNA is filed under the name Salmo salar (Atlantic salmon). RNAcentral's name for it is "lncRNA (ENSSSAG00000082089.1, ENSSSAG00000086681.1)". Lineage: Eukaryota; Metazoa; Chordata; Actinopteri; Salmoniformes; Salmonidae. The record is from RNAcentral.